RNAcentral lists this long non-coding RNA (789 nucleotides) under Capra hircus (goat). RNAcentral describes it as "lncRNA (ENSCHIG00000005338.1)". Lineage: Eukaryota; Metazoa; Chordata; Mammalia; Artiodactyla; Bovidae. The record is from RNAcentral.
GAGGCCGGGUGGCCUGUCCUCCGGUGGGGACUCCUGGAAGUUCCUUCCUUCCAUCGACUUCCGCUGGCAGCUCCGGUUCUGGGCCGCGUGGGAGGUGCUGGGGAGAGCUGCGGCCAAGGACAGCCUCUGAUCCCUGUGGGGGGUCAGACUGAGUGGCGGUGGUCCCGCAAAGGGCGGUUGCGAUCCCCAGGGAGUGUCGUGGUGGGGGCAGAGCCACACAGACUUGAAGUGGGGGCCGGCAUCUUCUUAGGCCUAAGAACCUGGUUUCCUGAAAGGGGCUCAUCUCCUGGGAAAGGAGGUCGGACUGCAAGGCACACGUGGAGGGGAUCUUCAACCCAGGGAUGGAACCCAAGUCUCCCGCAUUGCAGACAGAUUUACCGGCUGAGCCACAAGGGAAGCCCCUCCAACUAAAGGAAGAUGUCAAUCACUUGCAGUUGAGAGAGCACAUAGCCCCAGGCCUCCUGGAGCGAAAGGACUGAUAAUGCUAACCCUGGGACACACCCUGCUACCCCACCAUCUGCCAGUCAGAGAGCUGUGCUCAAGCUGAUCACAGACCCCGUGACGCCCAGUCUCCCUUGGCUUUUAAAAGUGCUUUGCCUAAACCCUUGGGGGAGCUUGGGGCUUUUUAGGGCACGAACCCACCCAUCUCCUUGCAUGGCCUUGCAAUAAACCUUUCUCGGCUCCAAACUACCAGGUUUCCUGGGCUCUAUGGGAGGUGUGACCUGAGGGAGCCACGUGGGCGGGAGAUGUAGAGAGGGUGCCAGGCAACCAGACGCCAGGAACAAAGCC